This 1242-nucleotide ribosomal RNA is filed under the name metagenome. Its description in RNAcentral is "bacterial LSU rRNA". It matches the Rfam family "Bacterial large subunit ribosomal RNA", at positions 1564 to 2815 of the family's 2925-position model. The record is from RNAcentral.
UGAAUACGAGACGCUAAGGCGUCGAAGUAGUGUAUGUCAUACUUCCAAGAAAAGCUUGCACUGUCAUAGAUAAAAAACGCCUGUACCAUAACCGACACAGGUGGGUAGGUAGAGUAUACUAAGGGGCGCGAGAUAACUCUCUCUAAGGAACUCGGCAAAAUAACUCCGUAACUUCGGGAGAAGGAGUGCCUUAUUUUUAAGGCUGCAAUAACAAGAUCCAAGCAACUGUUUAUCAAAAACACAGGUCUCCGCUAAGUCGUAAGACGAUAUAUGGGGGCUGACGCCUGCCCAGUGCCAGAAGGUUAAAGAAGUUGGUUAGCUUUUGCGAAGCUGAUAACUGAAGCCCUGGUGAACGGCGGCCGUAACGAUAACGGUCCUAAGGUAGCGAAAUUCCUUGUCGGGUAAGUUCCGACCCGCACGAAAGGCGUAAUGAUUUGGAUACUGUCUCGGAGAGGGGCUCGGUGAAAUAGACUUGUCUGUGAAGAUGCGGACUACCUGCACCAGGACAGAAAGACCCUAUGAAGCUUUACUGUAACUUGAAAUUGAAAUUGGACUUUAUUCGCGCAGCAUAGGUGGGAGGCGUUGAUUAUAAUCUCGUGGGAUUAUUGGAGCCAUCAGUGAGAUACCACUCUUGUAAUGUUAGAUUUCUAACUUUGAAUCAUUAUCUGGUCAAAGAACAGUUUCAGGCGGGCAGUUUGACUGGGGCGGUCGCCUCCUAAACGGUAACGGAGGCGUACAAAGGUUUCCUCUGAACGGUUAGAAAUCGUAUCUAGAGUGUAAAGGCAUAAGGAAGCUUGACUGUGAGACCUACAAGUCGAGCAGGGACGAAAGUCGGUCUUAGUGAUCUGACGGUACUGAGUGGAAAGGCCGUCACUCAACGGAUAAAAGUUACUCUAAGGAUAACAGGCUGAUCUCCCCCAAGAGUUCGCAUCGACGGGGAGGUUUGGCACCUCGAUGUCGGCUCAUCGCAUCCUGGGGCGGUAGUACGUCCCAAGGGUUGGGCUGUUCGCCCAUGAAAGCGGUACGCGAGCUGGGUUCAGAACGUCGUGAGACAGUUCGGUCCAUAUCCGGUGUAGGCGUUAGAAUAUUGAGAGGAGCCUUCUUUAGUACGAGAGGACCGAGAAGGACAUACCUCUGGUGUACCAGUUAUCGUGCCAACGGUAAACGCUGGGUAGCUAUGUAUGGAGUGGAUAACCGCUGAAAGCAUCUAAGUGGGAAGCCCACCUCAAGAUAAGUAUUCUC